UUUAUGGAGAGUUUGAUCCUGGCUCAGGAUGAACGCUGGCGGCGUGCCUAAUACAUGCAAGUCGAGCGAACGGACGAGAAGCUUGCUUCUCUGAUGUUAGCGGCGGACGGGUGAGUAACACGUGGAUAACCUACCUAUAAGACUGGGAUAACUUCGGGAAACCGGAGCUAAUACCGGAUAAUAUUUUGAACCGCAUGGUUCAAAAGUGAAAGACGGUCUUACUGUCACUUAUAGAUGGAUCCGCGCUGCAUUAGCUAGUUGGUAAGGUAACGGCUUACCAAGGCAACGAUGCAUAGCCGACCUGAGAGGGUGAUCGGCCACACUGGAACUGAGACACGGUCCAGACUCCUACGGGAGGCAGCAGUAGGGAAUCUUCCGCAAUGGGCGAAAGCCUGACGGAGCAACGCCGCGUGAGUGAUGAAGGUCUUCGGAUCGUAAAACUCUGUUAUUAGGGAAGAACAUAUGUGUAAGUAACUGUGCACAUCUUGACGGUACCUAAUCAGAAAGCCACGGCUAACUACGUGCCAGCAGCCGCGGUAAUACGUAGGUGGCAAGCGUUAUCCGGAAUUAUUGGGCGUAAAGCGCGCGUAGGCGGUUUUUUUAAGUCUGAUGUGAAAGCCCACGGCUCAACCGUGGAGGGUCAUUGGAAACUGGAAAACUUGAGUGCAGAAGAGGAAAGUGGAAUUCCAUGUGUAGCGGUGAAAUGCGCAGAGAUAUGGAGGAACACCAGUGGCGAAGGCGACUUUCUGGUCUGUAACUGACGCU
RNAcentral lists this ribosomal RNA (765 nucleotides) under Staphylococcus aureus. RNAcentral describes it as "bacterial SSU rRNA". It matches the Rfam family "Bacterial small subunit ribosomal RNA", at positions 1 to 747 of the family's 1533-position model. Lineage: Bacteria; Bacillati; Bacillota; Bacilli; Caryophanales; Staphylococcaceae. The record is from RNAcentral.